Molecule: long non-coding RNA, 1404 nt
Organism: Myotis brandtii (Brandt's bat)
Lineage: Eukaryota; Metazoa; Chordata; Mammalia; Chiroptera; Vespertilionidae
Exons: 2
Source: RefSeq, a predicted model, not a curated record
UCAAAAUGCUGACACGCCGAGCUCAAAAGGUUCGCCAUCACCGCUCCAAGGGCUUCUGAUGGGAGACUGGCUGAAUGGUGUGUAUGCAAACCAAAAGCUCUGCCUCUGUGAAUUUCUGUUUUUGAAAAGCUGACACCCUCAGAAAGGAAAGCUGAGAGACGAGUGACGCACUUGCAUUGGCCUCCUCCCAAACCUCACCACUCCUCUCAGGAGGAAAAUAAGAAAACCAUGUACACAGCCUCAUGCCACCUGAAACCUGGGCCCUGCCACACAGGAAGCCUAGAGAUAACUGGUGACAAAUUACACAAUUACACAACCCCAGGACAGACUGUCCUCCAUCUGGCUCACAGGAAUGUCCUUGCCAUGCACUUUGGGGGCCUCUUCCUUCACAGUGCACCAGGUCGCAUAGGACUUCCACUUGAAGCUGUAGAUAAGGCUGACAUGCACAGUUGAAAGCUAUCUUCUAGCGCCUUCUAUAGAACUUUAUUUCUAAACUUCAUGUACUAAAAGAAGAGAUUCCUUGCAAUAUCUCUUAAGUAUAGAUAACCCCAUGAGAAUCCUUUUCAUCUUUGACAAGAGAUAUCUAUAGCUGAGGCAAGGAGCCGAAGGCCCAACUCUGCCAAUAAUGAUAAUAAUAGCAACAAUGAACAUUUAAGGAGCAUUUACAAUAAAUGAAGCACUAUUCUACUUGUUUUACAUACACUGCCUCAUUUUACAGAUGAGGAAACAGGCACAAGAGAGAUUAAGUAAUUUGCCCAACUCACACCUAAAUAAAUGGCCGGAAGUCAAACCCAGGCAGGUGUGUCAGCAUCUACCUUCUUAACCACCAGGCUCCGCUGCCUCUUGCCAGGACUCCCUGCCUGAGCACUGACGCUACGCCGCCCAGGACCUUUGCUCCCAGACCUUUGCUCCUCUGAGGAUCAACAUUGUGACCUACCCAGAAGCUUGGUGAAACGCAGACUCUCAAAAGCUCCAUCCCAGACCUCCAGGAUCAGAUUCUGCAUUGUAACAAGCUCCCUGUACCUCCUUCCAGAUGCAUGGCAAAGGGCUGCCAUGGUUGGGUGAUUCAGUUGGUUGGAGCAUCAUCCUGGACACCAAACGGUUUUGGGUUCAAUCCCCGGCCGGGGCACGUAAAGGAAGCAACUAAUAGAUGUUUCUUUCCCCUCUCUCUCUGUCUCUCUCUCUGUCUCUUUCCCCUUUCAUCUCUUUCUAAAAUCAAUAAACAUACCCUCAGGUGAGGAUUAAAAAAUAAAAAGGCUAUAAAGGACUUAGCCAACUAGUGCUCCACAAAAGAAAGUCCUGAGACACAUACAGCUACAAUUAGCUCAUAAACUUCCCACUACCACCAAGGCAAGGAGUAUGCUGGUCCUUUCCCUAUACGAAUAAAUAUACAUAUUUCUUGAU